AUACGGAGGGUGCAAGCGUUAAUCGGAAUUACUGGGCGUAAAGCGCUCGUAGGCGGCUUGUAAAGUCGGAUGUGAAAGCCCUGGGCUAAACCUGGGAACUGCAUUCGAUACUGCUUCGCUAGAGUCCCGGAGAGGAUGGCAGAAUUCCCGGUGUAGAGGUGAAAUUCGUAGAUAUCGGGAGGAAUACCAGUGGCGAAGGCGGCCAUCUGGACGGUGACUGACGCUCAGACCCGAAAGCGUGGGGAGCAAACAGGAUUAGAAACCCGGGUAGUCC
RNAcentral lists this ribosomal RNA (274 nucleotides) under uncultured bacterium. RNAcentral describes it as "partial 16S ribosomal RNA". It matches the Rfam family "Bacterial small subunit ribosomal RNA", at positions 523 to 796 of the family's 1533-position model. The record is from RNAcentral.